Molecule: microRNA precursor, 67 nt
Filed under: Bombyx mori (domestic silkworm)
Lineage: Eukaryota; Metazoa; Arthropoda; Insecta; Lepidoptera; Bombycidae
Description: mir-2774 microRNA precursor family
Rfam family: mir-2774 microRNA precursor family
Source: Rfam by way of RNAcentral
ACAGCAUUCGGACCGUCGGUCUACCGAGCAAUAUCAACCGCUUGGUGGCAGAUCUACCUUUUGUCGU